Molecule: ribosomal RNA, 503 nt
Filed under: uncultured bacterium
Lineage: Bacteria
Description: partial 16S ribosomal RNA
Rfam family: Bacterial small subunit ribosomal RNA
Source: RNAcentral
AUUGAACGCUGGCGGCAGGCUUAACACAUGCAAGUCGAGCGGGGUGAUGGUGCUUGCACUAUCACUUAGCGGCGGACGGGUGAGUAAUGCUUAGGAAUCUGCCUAUUAGUGGGGGACAACAUCUCGAAAGGGAUGCUAAUACCGCAUACGUCCUACGGGAGAAAGCAGGGGAUCAUUUGUGACCUCGCUCCAAUAGAUGAGCCGAAGUCGGAUUAGCUAGUUGGUGGGGUAAAGGCCUACCAAGGCGACGAUCUGUAGCGGGUCUGAGAGGAUGAUCCGCCACACUGGGACUGAGACACGGCCCAGACUCCUACGGGAGGCAGCAGUGGGGAAUAUUGGACAAUGGGGGGAACCCUGAUCCAGCCAUGCCGCGUGUGUGAAGAAGGCCUUAUGGUUGUAAAGCACUUUAAGCGAGGAGGAGGCUCUUUUGGUUAAUACCCAAGAUGAGUGGACGUUACUCGCAGAAUAAGCACCGGCUAACUCUGUGCCAGCCGCCGCAGUAA